RNAcentral lists this ribosomal RNA (589 nucleotides) under uncultured Rubrobacteraceae bacterium. RNAcentral's name for it is "bacterial SSU rRNA". It matches the Rfam family "Bacterial small subunit ribosomal RNA", at positions 335 to 916 of the family's 1533-position model. The record is from RNAcentral. Lineage: Bacteria; Bacillati; Actinomycetota; Rubrobacteria; Rubrobacterales; Rubrobacteraceae.
ACUCCUACGGGAGGCAGCAGUGGGGAAUCUUGCGCAAUGGGCGAAAGCCUGACGCAGCAACGCCGCGUGGGGGAAGAAGGCCUUCGGGUUGUAAACCUCUUUCAGGAGGGACGAAGCCACCAGGGUUAAUAGCCCAUGGGGUGACGGUACCUUCAGAAGAAGCCCCGGCUAACUACGUGCCAGCAGCCGCGGUAAUACGUAGGGGGCAAGCGUUGUCCGGAAUUAUUGGGCGUAAAGCGCGUGUAGGCGGCUUGGUAAGUCUGGUGUGAAACCUUGGGGCUUAACCCCAAGCCUGCACUGGAUACUGCCUCGCUAGAGUCCGGGAGGGGAGAGCGGAAUUCCCAGUGUAGCGGUGAAAUGCGCAGAUAUUGGGAAGAACACCAGUGGCGAAGGCGGCUCUCUGGAACGGUACUGACGCUGAGACGCGAAAGCGUGGGGAGCGAACAGGAUUAGAUACCCUGGUAGUCCACGCCGUAAACGAUGGGCACUAGAUGUGGGCGGUGUCGACUCCGCCCGUGUCGAAGCUAACGCAUUAAGUGCCCCGCCUGGGGAGUACGGCCGCAAGGCUAAAACUCAAAUGAAUUGACGG